UCACCACAUUUGUCACCCUCUCACUCACAGCUAGUGACACGACACAGCCUGAGAACUUCUGGUUUUUCCUGUCACUCUCCAGUGCUACAAGGAAUGACCUGAAUCUUGAAAUAAAUGCAACAGAGGGGACCAAACCCCUGAGUCCCACUGAGCACACAUUCCCUACACAUCUACACCAAAGCUCAUUCAAAGGAGGUGCACAACUCUCAGACAGAAAAGCAGCACAUUCCACACCCAAGCCUGGAGGGUAGUGACCAAGCGAAGCACCACCUUUAGGAACCCUUGCCACGUCCUCUGAAGGAGCCAGGGAAGCAGAGCAGUGCACACCAUUUCAGAGCAGCGUUCUGGCCUGUUUCUGCUCACUGUAAUUGCUUUAACAGCACCCGAGUUCCCUGGCACUAACUUAUGGAAUGACUGAAUGAACAAGUUGGCUUGAAGAACCCUAAUCCAAGAAAGUACCCUUCUCUCAAACACCAGUCCCUGCACAAACUAAGAAUUAAGCAGCUGCAGUGGAUGUGAGGAUGUGGAAAUGCGUGGUGCUUUCAGAAGCCUCUGCCAGUGCAGUGUCCGUGUGUUUGGCACUGCUGUCUGCAGCCACUGCUGCCUGUCCACACGGAUAUUCCUCCUGCAGCCUGCUCCCCUAAUUGCAGCUGGCAUAGCUGCACAACACCACGGAUUCCUCGGCUCCCCAGGGAACGGGAAGGAUCUCCAUGGAAACAGACAGUAGCACUUGUUCUUUUGAUAGUAUUCUGACAUGGCUGUAAUAAAACUUCAUUUAUGACAAUA
Vidua macroura (Pin-tailed whydah) is the source of this 786-nucleotide long non-coding RNA. RefSeq lists it as uncharacterized. The transcript is spliced from 5 exons. NCBI's taxonomy places the organism in Eukaryota, Metazoa, Chordata, Aves, Passeriformes, Viduidae. The record is from RefSeq and is a predicted model, not a curated record.